Molecule: ribosomal RNA, 846 nt
Filed under: Cantharellus anzutake
Lineage: Eukaryota; Fungi; Basidiomycota; Agaricomycetes; Cantharellales; Hydnaceae
Description: partial 28S rRNA
Rfam family: Eukaryotic large subunit ribosomal RNA
Source: RNAcentral
GCAUAUCACUAAGCGGAGGAAAAGAAACUAACUAGGAUUCCCCCAGUAACUGCGAGUGAAGAGGGAAGAGCUCAUCAUUGGAAUCUGGCAGUGUUGCACUGUCCGAGUUGUAGAUGAGGAGUAGUCCGUCUGGACUGCAUGGCGUCCAAGUACAAUAGGCCGUCAGUGGGACAUCAUAGAGGGUGACAAUCCCGUCCUUGACGCCAAUGUGCAAGUCUAUUACGAUGGCUAUCUCAGAGAGUCGAGCAGUUUGGGAUUUGCUGCUUAAACAUGGGAGGUAGAUUCCUUCUAAAGCUAAAUACAGGCGAGAGACCGAUAGAGAACAAGUACCGCAAGGGAAAGAUGAAAUAGCACUCUGUGAAGGGAGUCAAAAGGCGUGAAAUUGUUGCGAGAGAAGCGAUUCAAGUCAGCGUAGCUAGGCCCAUCAAGCGUCUUCGCUUUGGACUAGCUUUGCCAGCGGUCUUGUCCCUUGAAGAGACUUGACUUGUAAUAUGUCCAGCCUGGCGUGCACAGGCAGCCCCUUCUGGGGGCCAGUGGCAUGGCUGGUGGAAUGGCUUGCAAUCGACCCGUCUUGAAACACGGACCAAGGAGUCUAACAUGUAUGCGAGUAUAAGGGUGGCAAACCCGUAUGCGCAAUGAAAGUGAUUUUCGGUGAUUGAGAAUGGCCUGAUGACCAGACAAGCAAUAUAUGUCCCUCGUACGGCCAUUGCCCAAGUUCCGUGGUAGAUCCCACGAACAUGGAGUUGGAGCAUACAUGCUAGGACCCGAAAGAUGGUGAACUAUGCCUGGACAAAGCGAAGCCAAAGGAAACUCUGGUGGAGGCUUGUAGCGAUUCUGACGUGCAAA